RNAcentral lists this small nuclear RNA (107 nucleotides) under Choloepus hoffmanni (Hoffmann's two-fingered sloth). The record is from RNAcentral. Lineage: Eukaryota; Metazoa; Chordata; Mammalia; Pilosa; Megalonychidae.
GUGCUUGCUUUGGCAGCACAUAUACUAAAAUUUGAAUGAUACAGAAAAGAUUAGCUUGGCCCCUAUGCAAGGAUGCCAUGCAAAUUUGUGAAGUGUUAUUUAAUUAA